CAGAUUUUCUGUUUUCCUCACCCCAAAUCACACAGAGACUGUGGAGUCUUCAUAAGCCCUCCGACAGGUGGACAGGAGCCUGCCGUGAAAAACCAUGUGUGGGUCACGCAAUUUCCCGGUUCUCCUAUUCCCUUUCUGCUAAACCCCCAACAGCUGUCCCAUGUGGGCCGGGGCCAUGAUUUGAUCUGCACCCACCAACUACUGAUCUUCUCUUGGGAGGACCCAAAAUGAUUUACCAAUUCAGCACAAGCAGGUACACAGCGCCCCAACCAAUGAGAAUAUGCUGCAGCCGGGCUGCAUUAUUUAUCGCCAUGGUAACCAUACCGACAGAACUGGGACGCAGGCUUCUCCGUGCCGUACUUUGAUGCCCCGCCUUCCUACCUACAUGAGAACGUUUCCUCUUUUUAUUAUCUUGUGCCUAUCGCUCAAAAUGGAAACUGACUGAGGAAUACACGCACAGCCAUCGCAGUUUGCAUCCCCGGGGCCCGGCUGUCAGUGCGCAUACAUUCUGUUUACUGUCACACAAUGACAUUUGGGCCCCAUGGUGGGCUCUGGUUGCGUGAGUUUGUUUGUUUCUCCUCCUAAUUACUUGUUGAGUAUCACCAGCAAAAGUAAAAGCAGAAUUGUUUUAUUCAGCAAUGUUUUUGUGAAAAUUUGAGAA
This is a non-coding RNA of Paramisgurnus dabryanus, 661 nucleotides long. The record is from RefSeq and is a predicted model, not a curated record. Lineage: Eukaryota; Metazoa; Chordata; Actinopteri; Cypriniformes; Cobitidae.